This 62-nucleotide small RNA is filed under the name Amedibacillus dolichus. The record is from RNAcentral. Lineage: Bacteria; Bacillati; Bacillota; Erysipelotrichia; Erysipelotrichales; Erysipelotrichaceae.
UUACAACCGCUCAAAAAAGGUAUAAGUAUGAGGUUCUCAUCACCUUUGAUGGCGAGUCUUAA